Molecule: ribosomal RNA, 499 nt
Filed under: uncultured bacterium
Lineage: Bacteria
Description: bacterial SSU rRNA
Rfam family: Bacterial small subunit ribosomal RNA
Source: RNAcentral
AACGCUGGCGGCGUGCCUAACACAUGCAAGUCGAACGAAGCUCCUUACUUGAGUUUCGGACAAGAGCAAAGGAUGACUUAGUGGCGGACGGGUGAGUAACGCGCGAGCAACCUGCCUCGGAGUGGGGGACAACAGUUGGAAACGACUGUUAAUACCGCAUGAUGUGUAUGGAAGACAUCUUCCGUACACCAAAGAUUUAUCGCUCUGAGAUGGGCUCACGUCUGAUUAGUUAGUUGGUAGGGUAACGGCCUACCAAGACUGCGAUCAGUAGCCGGACUGAGAGGUCGAACGGCCACAUUGGGACUGAGAUACGGCCCAGACUCCUACGGGAGGCAGCAGUAGGGAAUAUUGGACAAUGGGCGCAAGCCUGAUCCAGCAAUGCCGCGUGCAGGAUGAAGGCCUUCGGGUUGUAAACUGCUUUUGUACGGAACGAAACGGUGAGCUCUAAUAAAGCUUGCUAAUGACGGUACCGUAAGAAUAAGCACCGGCUAACUACGUG